This 329-nucleotide ribosomal RNA is filed under the name uncultured eukaryote. RNAcentral's name for it is "partial 18S ribosomal RNA". It matches the Rfam family "Eukaryotic small subunit ribosomal RNA", at positions 1470 to 1796 of the family's 1831-position model. The record is from RNAcentral.
CCCUUAGAUGUUCUGGGCCGCACGCGCGCUACACUGAGCCCUUCAUCGAGUUUACAACCUUGGCCGGUAGGUCUGGGUAAUCUUCUCAAAGGGGCUCGUGCUGGGGAUAGAUUAUUGUAAUUUUUAAUCUUCAACGAGGAAUUCCUAGUAAACGCAAGUCAACAGCUUGCAUUGAUUACGUCCCUGCCCUUUGUACACACCGCCCGUCGCUCCUACCGAUUGAAUGAUCCGAUGAAUAUCAUGGAUUGAGGAUGCAAGCAGGUUCGCCUGUCUUCAUCUUCGAGAAGUGAAGUAAAUCUUAUCAUUUAGAGGAAGGAGAAGUCGUAACA